RNAcentral lists this ribosomal RNA (422 nucleotides) under uncultured bacterium. RNAcentral describes it as "bacterial SSU rRNA". It matches the Rfam family "Bacterial small subunit ribosomal RNA", at positions 355 to 774 of the family's 1533-position model. The record is from RNAcentral.
UAAGGAAUAUUGGACAAUGGAGGCAACUCUGAUCCAGCCAUGCCGCGUGAAGGAAUAAGGCCCUAUGGGUUGUAAACUUCUUUUAGACGGGACAAAACUCCUUUACGUGUAAAGGGUUGAUGGUACUGUCAGAAUAAGCAUCGGCUAACUUCGUGCCAGCAGCCGCGGUAAUACGAAGGAUGCAAGCGUUAUCCGGAAUUAUUGGGUUUAAAGGGUGCGUAGGCGGACUAAUAAGUCAGUGGUGAAAGCCUGCAGCUUAACUGCAGAAUUGCCAUUGAUACUGUUAGUCUUGAGUACAGUUGAGGUAGGCGGAAUGUGUCAUGUAGCGGUGAAAUGCUUAGAUAUGACACAGAACACCGAUUGCGAAGGCAGCUUGCUAAGCUGUAACUGACGCUGAGGCACGAAAGCGUGGGGAGCAAACA